UACGGAGGAUGCAAGCGUUAUCCGGAAUUAUUGGGCGUAAAGCGUCCGCAGGUGGCACUUCAAGUCUGCUGUCAAAGACCGGGGCUUAACCCUGGAAAGGCAGUGGAAACUGAAGCGCUAGAGUGUGGCAGGGGUAGAGGGAAUUCCCGGUGUAGCGGUGAAAUGCGUAGAGAUCGGGAAGAACAUCGGUGGCGAAGGCAGCCUCCUGGGCCAGCACUGACGCUCAUGCACGAAAGCGUGGGGAGCAAACAGG
This 253-nucleotide ribosomal RNA is filed under the name uncultured bacterium. RNAcentral describes it as "partial 16S ribosomal RNA". It matches the Rfam family "Bacterial small subunit ribosomal RNA", at positions 524 to 776 of the family's 1533-position model. The record is from RNAcentral.